Molecule: ribosomal RNA, 253 nt
Filed under: uncultured bacterium
Lineage: Bacteria
Description: partial 16S ribosomal RNA
Rfam family: Bacterial small subunit ribosomal RNA
Source: RNAcentral
UACAGAGGUCUCGAGCGUUGUUCGGAUUCAUUGGGCGUAAAGGGUGCGUAGGUGGCAUCGUAAGUCGGGUGUGAAAUCCUGAGGCUUAACCUCGGAACUGCAUUCGAUACUGCGGUGCUUGAGGACUGGAGAGGAGACUGGAAUUCAUGGUGUAGCAGUGAAAUGCGUAGAGAUCAUGAGGAAGACCAGUGGCGAAGGCGGGUCUCUGGACAGUUCCUGACACUGAGGCACGAAGGCCAGGGGAGCAAACGGG